RNAcentral lists this ribosomal RNA (423 nucleotides) under Gerris thoracicus. Its description in RNAcentral is "partial 16S ribosomal RNA". Lineage: Eukaryota; Metazoa; Arthropoda; Insecta; Hemiptera; Gerridae. The record is from RNAcentral. RNAcentral also lists the same sequence under 1 other name.
GAUAUGAACUCUCCGAAAAAAUUACGCUGUUAUCCCUAAGGUAAGUUAAUCUUAUAAUCAAAAAUUCUGGAUCAAAAAAACAUAAAUUAAUGAAUAAAAUAUUAAAAGUUAAAUAAAUUUUAAUGUCACCCCAACAAAACUUUAUAUUCUAAAAAAUUGUAUAAUUAACAAAAAACAAUAAUUAAUAAAUAAAGUAAACUUCUAUAGGGUCUUCUCGUCCUAUAAAAAAAUUUUAGCUUUUUAACUAAAAAAUUAAAUUCAAAAUAAUUAAAAAAAGAAAGUUUAUUUUUCAUCAAACCAUUCAUGCUAGCCUUCAAUUAAAAGACAAAUGAUUAUGCUACCUUCGUACAGUUAAAAUACCGCAGCCUUUUAAUUCAUAAAAAUCAAUGGGCAGGUCUGAUCUUAAAUUAAAAUCAAAAGACC